RNAcentral lists this ribosomal RNA (206 nucleotides) under uncultured Veillonellaceae bacterium. RNAcentral describes it as "partial 16S ribosomal RNA". It matches the Rfam family "Bacterial small subunit ribosomal RNA", at positions 568 to 774 of the family's 1533-position model. Lineage: Bacteria; Bacillati; Bacillota; Negativicutes; Veillonellales; Veillonellaceae. The record is from RNAcentral.
CAUGUAGGCGGUCCUUUAAGUCUGGAGUGAAAAUGCGGGGCUCAACCCCGUAUGGCUUUGGAUACUGGGGGACUUGAGUGCAGGAGAGGAAAGGGGAAUUCCCAGUGUAGCGGUGAAAUGCGUAGAUAUUGGGAGGAACACCAGUGGCGAAGGCGCCUUUCUGGGCUGUGUCUGACGCUGAGAUGCGAAAGCCAGGGUAGCGAACG